GGCAUUUUGGUAUCCAUUUUUUAAUUCUUUUUUUAUCAUUUAAUUUUUGUUUUUUAGUCAAAAUGAUUAGCAUAAUUAAUUAGAGUUAAUCGAUUAUUUAGUUUAAACUUAUCUUUGUUUCUUUUACUUUAAUUUAAUUACCCAAAAGAUCUAUUUUCAUAAUUCAAAAUAUAAUAAAAGAAAUAAAAAAAUAAAAAAAUUUAAUUUACCAACAGCAUGGUGACAUGUGGCAUCCUCCAAUUGAAGACAUUCAUCCAACAAGCGACACAUGUCCUCACAUGUGCAUCUCAAAUGGCUAUCUUAGGUGGACUUCCAUUGCUUGCUAAAAUAUCUCCCAACCUCCACUCCCUUGAUUUUCAGAUAUUCCUCCCACGUGACUAAUAUUUCUUUCUCCUA
RNAcentral lists this long non-coding RNA (396 nucleotides) under Lathyrus oleraceus (garden pea). Its description in RNAcentral is "Pisum sativum (pea) long non-coding RNA (PSAT_LNC022732)". Lineage: Eukaryota; Viridiplantae; Streptophyta; Magnoliopsida; Fabales; Fabaceae. The record is from RNAcentral.